UCAAAAGGAAGGUGUGGGAAAGAGUG
RNAcentral lists this non-coding RNA (26 nucleotides) under Rattus norvegicus (Norway rat). The record is from RNAcentral. Lineage: Eukaryota; Metazoa; Chordata; Mammalia; Rodentia; Muridae.